Molecule: ribosomal RNA, 468 nt
Filed under: uncultured bacterium
Lineage: Bacteria
Description: partial 16S ribosomal RNA
Rfam family: Bacterial small subunit ribosomal RNA
Source: RNAcentral
GACGAACGCUGGCGGCGUGCUUAACACAUGCAAGUCGAACGGUGAUGCUCCAGCUUUCUGGAGUGGAUCAGUGGCGAACGGGUGAGUAACACGUGAGCAACCUGCCCCAGACUCUGGAAUAAGCGCUGGAAACGGCGUCUAAUACUGGAUACGAAACUGGCCCGCAUGGGCAUGGUUUGGAAAGUUUUUCGGUUUGGGAUGGGCUCGCGGCCUAUCAGCUUGUUGGUGAGGUAAUGGCUCACCAAGGCGACGACGGGUAGCCGGCCUGAGAGGGCGACCGGCCACACUGGGACUGAGACACGGCCCAGACUCCUACGGGAGGCAGCAGUGGGGAAUAUUGCACAAUGGGCGAAAGCCUGAUGCAGCGACGCCGCGUGAGGGAUGACGGCCUUCGGGUUGUAAACCUCUUUCGGCAGGGAAGAAGCGAAAGUGACGGUACCUGCAGAAGAAGCACCGGCUAACUACGUG